UCUGUUCAUUCAGUGCUCCGUGAAAGAUAAGUAAUGAAUCAUCUUCUCGAGAUAUUUCAUAUUUAUUCUGAAAAUAAAUAAUUAUUCUCUGAAAUUAUGCAUGAUUUAUGAAAUUAUGUUUUGAAAGAAAAGUGCUUUUGAAAUAUUAUGGUAUGUCGAUUAUGCACACGUUCAGUGAAAAAUUAUGAUAUAUUAUGAUACAAAGUGUUUGAUAC
Molecule: long non-coding RNA, 215 nt
Filed under: Elaeis guineensis (African oil palm)
Lineage: Eukaryota; Viridiplantae; Streptophyta; Magnoliopsida; Arecales; Arecaceae
Description: long non-coding RNA (EGUI_LNC053591)
Source: RNAcentral